GUGAAUGAAUGGAAUGCUUACUAAA
Molecule: non-coding RNA, 25 nt
Filed under: Rattus norvegicus (Norway rat)
Lineage: Eukaryota; Metazoa; Chordata; Mammalia; Rodentia; Muridae
Source: RNAcentral